UACAGAGGUCCCAAGCGUUGUUCGGAUUCACUGGGCGUAAAGGGUGCGUAGGCGGUCGGGUAAGUCUGAUGUGAAAUCUCACAGCUUAACUGUGAAACUGCAUUGGAUACUAUCCGGCUCGAGGAAUGGAGGGGAGACUGGAAUACUUGGUGUAGCAGUGAAAUGCGUAGAUAUCAAGUGGAACACCAGUGGCGAAGGCGAGUCUCUGGACAUUUCCUGAUGCUGAGGCACGAAAGCCAGGGGAGCAAACGGG
Molecule: ribosomal RNA, 253 nt
Filed under: uncultured bacterium
Lineage: Bacteria
Description: partial 16S ribosomal RNA
Rfam family: Bacterial small subunit ribosomal RNA
Source: RNAcentral